AUUCCAGCUCUGUAAGCGUAUACCAAAGUUGUUGCAGUUAAAACGCUCGUAGUCGAACCUUGGCGUGAGUUACGGAGGCUCCUAAUGGACGUCGAAGUAACUCCGCCUUUGUGGAGGGGGGUGUGGUGUUACUUCAUUGUAUUGCCGCAUUUCCGCCACUGUUUACUGUGAAAAAAUUAGAGUGUUCAAAGCGAGCGUUUGCCAUGAAUACAUUAGCAUGGAAUAAUAGAAUAGGACCUGGUCCUGUUUUAUUGGUUUGUCAGUAUCAGGUAAUGAUUAACAGGGACGGUCGGGGGCAUUUGUAUUCCAGCGUUAGAGGUGAAAUUCUUGGAUCGCUGGAAGACAAACAGCUGCGAAAGCGUCUGCCAAGGACGUUUUCAUCA
RNAcentral lists this ribosomal RNA (383 nucleotides) under Osmundea sp. Its description in RNAcentral is "partial small subunit ribosomal RNA". It matches the Rfam family "Eukaryotic small subunit ribosomal RNA", at positions 582 to 975 of the family's 1831-position model. Lineage: Eukaryota; Rhodophyta; Florideophyceae; Ceramiales; Rhodomelaceae. The record is from RNAcentral.